RNAcentral lists this ribosomal RNA (505 nucleotides) under uncultured bacterium. Its description in RNAcentral is "bacterial SSU rRNA". It matches the Rfam family "Bacterial small subunit ribosomal RNA", at positions 29 to 526 of the family's 1533-position model. The record is from RNAcentral.
AACGAACGCUGGCGGCGUGGAUAAGACAUGCAAGUCGAACGGGGAACUUACUUAGCUUGCUUUGAAAGUUCCUAGUGGCGAACGGGUGAGUAACACGUGAGUUACCUGCCCCAAAGCGGGGGAUAGCCCGAGGAAACUCGGAUUAAUACCCCAUGUGAUCGUAAGAUUAAAGGCGGCUUCGGCUGUCGCUUUGGGAUGGGCUCGCGGCCUAUCAGCUAGUUGGUGAGGUAAAGGCUCACCAAGGCGAUGACGGGUAGCUGGUCUGAGAGGACGACCAGUCACACUGGAACUGAGACACGGUCCAGACACCUACGGGUGGCAGCAGUCGAGAAUCAUUCGCAAUGGACGAAAGUCUGACGGUGCGACGCCGCGUGGAGGAUGAAGGCCCUAGGGUCGUAAACUCCUGUCAUCAGGGAGUAAAUACUUACGCAGUAACUGGCGUGGGUCUUGAUAGUACCUGAAGAGGAAGGGACGGCAAACUUCGUGCCAGCCGCCGCCGUAACAC